UGUUUGAUGCUUCUUUUUUACACUCUGGAGUCAUCGGACUAUUUUUGUUGCUUUCGAUGGCUGUAGCUUUGUGGUUAAGGUUUUGCGUCUUCUCCUUCCUAUAACCUAACCAACUGCAUUUCUGUGCAUUUCUCGGCAGUGAUGAGGCACCUCCUCAUGCUGCUGCGGCUUCCAAAACCGAAUCUUCUUCCCCGAGUGACGAAACACUUAAACGCUUGAAUGCGUACAUCAAGGAAUACCUGUUUCAACUUGGAUUAAGUGAUCUCGCAUGCCGGUUUUUGGAGGAGGCCGAAAAAAAAAAGGACAUCCCACCUGUUCCAUUUGUUCAGAUGUGGGUUCAGCUGGAAAGCGAGAUGAUCCCCUGCCCUCCCCCUUCGUAUGAUAAACAGAUGGGACCAAUGUCAUCCCUGAAUGAGGGCGUCGAGAAGUACCUGGACUACCUGCAUAUUGACAGGAGGAGCUUUAGCGAGAAAGCUUGGAGACACGUUGUUCGUUGGAUUCCUCUGAUUACUAUUUGGUUUGAAAGAAUCUAUCCACAACGUGAUGCUAAGACUGACUGAACAGAAUAUGAGGCAAUUGGCAGUUGACAACUACUCAUUUGAUAGUAACUGUGAUGAUAGAUUGAUUCGUUACACUUGACUUUGUAUAGGAUUGAUGAUAAGUGCAAGUGAGAAUAGAUGCUUCGGUGGUAUAGGAUUGAU
Long non-coding RNA from Eucalyptus grandis, 701 nucleotides. RefSeq lists it as uncharacterized. The transcript has 3 exons. Lineage: Eukaryota; Viridiplantae; Streptophyta; Magnoliopsida; Myrtales; Myrtaceae. The record is from RefSeq and is a predicted model, not a curated record.